UGGGGUAUGGCUCAGUGGUAGAGCACAUGCUUAGCAUGUGCAAGGUCCUGGGUUCAAUCCCCAGUACCUCCA
RNAcentral lists this transfer RNA (72 nucleotides) under Camelus bactrianus (Bactrian camel). It matches the Rfam family "tRNA". Rfam says of the family: Transfer RNA (tRNA) molecules are approximately 80 nucleotides in length. Their secondary structure includes four short double-helical elements and three loops (D, anti-codon, and T loops). The record is from Rfam by way of RNAcentral. RNAcentral also lists the same sequence under 2 other names. Lineage: Eukaryota; Metazoa; Chordata; Mammalia; Artiodactyla; Camelidae.